UGGGGAAUAUUGCACAAUGGACGGAAGUUUGAUGCAGCGACGCCGCGUGGAGGGUGUAGGCCUUCGGGUUGUGAACUCCUUUUUCUCGCGAAAAAGGCACAGUUUUGGCUGUGUUGAUGGUAGUGGGGGAAGAAGCGCCGGCUAACUACGUGCCAGCAGCCGCGGUAAUACGUAGGGCGCGAGCGUUGUCCGGAUUUAUUGGGCGUAAAGAGCUCGUAGGUGGUUCGUCGCGUCUGUCGUGAAAGCCAGCAGCUUAACUGUUGGUCUGCGGUGGGUACGGGAGGGCUUGAGUGCGGUAGGGGUGACUGGAAUUCCUGGUGUAGCGGUGGAAUGCGCAGAUAUCAGGAGGAACACCGAUGGCGAAGGCAGGUCACUGGGCCGUUACUGACACUGAGGAGCGAAAGCGUGGGGAGCGAACAGG
This 421-nucleotide ribosomal RNA is filed under the name Fusobacteriota bacterium. RNAcentral describes it as "Fusobacteria bacterium partial 16S ribosomal RNA". It matches the Rfam family "Bacterial small subunit ribosomal RNA", at positions 355 to 776 of the family's 1533-position model. Lineage: Bacteria; Fusobacteriati; Fusobacteriota. The record is from RNAcentral.